This 355-nucleotide ribosomal RNA is filed under the name uncultured bacterium. RNAcentral describes it as "partial 16S ribosomal RNA". It matches the Rfam family "Bacterial small subunit ribosomal RNA", at positions 338 to 686 of the family's 1533-position model. The record is from RNAcentral.
CCUACGGGGGGCAGCAGUAGGGAAUUUUCGUCAAUGGGCGCAAGCCUGAACGAGCAAUGCCGCGUGAACGAGGAAGGUCUUCGGAUCGUAAAGUUCUGUUGAAGGGGAAAAAGAGCGGAGAGAGUAAAUGCUUUCUGAUUGAUAUUACCCUUCGAGGAAGUCACGGCUAACUACGUGCCAGCAGCCGCGGUAAUACGUAGGUGGCGAGCGUUAUCCGGAAUGAUUGGGCGUAAAGGGUGCGUAGGCGGACUGCUAAGUCUGGAGUGAAAGGUACCGGCUCAACCGGUACAGGCUCUGGGAACUGGGGGGAUAGGGGGGAGGAGAGGGAGGGGGAAAUCCAUGUGUAGCGGGAAAA